This 1242-nucleotide ribosomal RNA is filed under the name Triticum aestivum (bread wheat). RNAcentral describes it as "partial small subunit ribosomal RNA". Lineage: Eukaryota; Viridiplantae; Streptophyta; Magnoliopsida; Poales; Poaceae. The record is from RNAcentral.
AUGGGCGCCGCUGUCAUUCCUCUCCUCGUCUCCGUACUACUCGUCGUGGCGGCGGCGCGUGCCCCGGCGGCGUCCGCGGCGCCGCGGGCAUUCUUCGUCUUCGGCGACUCCCUCGUCGACAACGGCAACAACAACUACCUCCUCACCACGGCGCGCGCCGACGCGCCGCCCUACGGCAUCGACUUCCCGUCGCACCGCGCCACGGGCCGCUUCUCCAACGGCCUCAACAUCCCCGACAUCAUCAGUAAUACUACUACAAUACACUCCAUGCCUCCAUUCGCCAUGCAUGCAUCUCAGUUUCAGAUAGGAAAAUGCUGCUCCGUUGAGCUCGAACUGGAGCACGGCAUGUCACGUACUGACGCCGUCGUUUCAGGUGAGCACCUCGGGGCGGAGCCUGCGCUGCCGUACCUGAGCCCGGAGCUCCGAGGGGCGAAGCUUCUCGUCGGCGCCAACUUCGCGUCGGCCGGCGUCGGGAUCCUCAACGACACGGGAGUGCAGUUUGUGAACAUAAUUAGGAUGGGGGAUCAGCUGCGUUACUUCGGGGAGUACCAGCGGAAGCUGAGGGCCUUCGCCGGCGAGGAGCAGGCGGCGAGGCUCGUCAGCGGUGCUCUCGUGCUCAUCACGCUGGGAGGCAACGACUUCGUCAACAACUACUACCUGGUGCCCAUGUCCAUGCGGUCUCGCCAGUACACGCUCCCCGACUACGUCCGCUUCAUCGUCUCCGAGUACAGGAAAAUCCUCGCGAGGCUGUACGAGCUGGGGGCGCGGCGCGUGAUCGUGACGGGCACGGGGCCGCUGGGGUGCGUGCCGGCGGAGCUGGCGCAGCACAGCAGCAACGGCGAGUGCGCGGCGGAGCUGAACCGCGCCGUGGACCUCUUCAACCCGCAGCUGGUGGACAUGGUGCGCGGCCUCAACCGCGACGCCGGCGCCGACGUCUUCGUCUCCGCCAACGCCUACCGCGCCAACUUCGACUACCUCGCCAACCCGCAGAGCUACGGGUUCACGAACGUGAAGGUGGCGUGCUGUGGGCAGGGGCCGUACAACGGGAUCGGGCUGUGCACGGCGGCGUCCAACGUGUGCGCCGACCGGGAGGUGUUCGCCUUCUGGGACGCCUUCCACCCCACCGAGCGGGCCAACCGCAUCAUCGUCGGCCAGUUCAUGCACGGGUCCACCGACUACAUGCACCCCAUGAACCUCAGCACCAUACUCGCCAUGGACCAGCUGCAGGAGGGUCCUCUUUAG